RNAcentral lists this ribosomal RNA (468 nucleotides) under uncultured bacterium. RNAcentral describes it as "partial 16S ribosomal RNA". It matches the Rfam family "Bacterial small subunit ribosomal RNA", at positions 28 to 507 of the family's 1533-position model. The record is from RNAcentral.
GAUGAACGCUGGCGGCGUGCUUAACACAUGCAAGUCGAACGGAAAGGCCGAAGCUUGCUUCGGUACUCGAGUGGCGAACGGGUGAGUAACACGUGGGUGAUCUGCCCUGUACUUCGGGAUAAGCUUGGGAAACUGGGUCUAAUACCGGAUAUGACGAUCUCUUGGAUGGGGUUGUGGAAAGCUUUUGCGGUAUGGGAUGAGCUCGCGGCCUAUCAGCUUGUUGGUGGGGUAAUGGCCUACCAAGGCGUCGACGGGUAGCCGGCCUGAGAGGGUGUACGGCCACAUUGGGACUGAGAUACGGCCCAGACUCCUACGGGAGGCAGCAGUGGGGAAUAUUGCACAAUGGGCGCAAGCCUGAGGCAGCGACGCCGCGUGGGGGAUGACGGCCUUCGGGUUGUAAACUCCUUUCGCAAUCGACGAAGCCUUUUGGUGACGGUAGGUUGAGAAGAAGCACCGGCUAACUACGUG